Molecule: transfer RNA, 71 nt
Filed under: Stegodyphus dumicola
Lineage: Eukaryota; Metazoa; Arthropoda; Arachnida; Araneae; Eresidae
Description: tRNA-Met
Rfam family: tRNA
About the family: Transfer RNA (tRNA) molecules are approximately 80 nucleotides in length. Their secondary structure includes four short double-helical elements and three loops (D, anti-codon, and T loops).
Source: RNAcentral
GCCUUCGUGGUGUAACGGUAGCACAUUCGACGCAUAUUCGAGAGGUCCAGGUUCGAAUCCCGGUGAAGGCA